Molecule: long non-coding RNA, 588 nt
Filed under: Phoenix dactylifera (date palm)
Lineage: Eukaryota; Viridiplantae; Streptophyta; Magnoliopsida; Arecales; Arecaceae
Description: long non-coding RNA (PDAC_LNC012575)
Source: RNAcentral
CUUCAGCCGGCACAGGCUCGGGGUCGGGGGCAGGGGCCUCAGGUACCGCCUCCGGGACGGCGUCCGUCUCGGCCGCCGGAGCCGCCUCCAUGGUGCCGACCGCCUCGGCCACCCCCGUCGAAGGCUCGGCGGGGUCUUGUUCGUAUAUUCCCGCCUCGGAUGUCAAAAUGGCGGGGAGGCCUUCCGCGUCGGACCCCCAGCCCAGGUUCUCCCUCGGACGGACUGUCGAGAGGUCGUACUGAGGGCAGUACCGGCGCAUCUGCAGCCGGAAGUUCUCGAAGCCCCGGAGGAACCCGUCCACCGUCUCCUCCUCCAACAUGUCGCGGAACUCUUGCGACUCCUUGAAGAGUUCCACGGCGUGAUCAGCCCGCUCAAGUGCCCUCCGCUCUCGGGCCUCGAGUUGCUCGAUUCAGAGGCGGGAAACCCCGUCCUCAUAUUUGAGGGCCGCGACCUCGGCCUGGACCUCCCCCAAGCGCGCCUCCGUACCGCGCAUGGCCGACCUGGUCAGGGCGUGAGCAGCCCUUUCCUCUUCAAGCGCCCCCGCCAUAGCAAGGCGCUCGGCCUCGGUGGCCGCCCUCCGAGCUUCGG